RNAcentral lists this transfer RNA (57 nucleotides) under Setaria digitata. RNAcentral describes it as "tRNA-His". The record is from RNAcentral. Lineage: Eukaryota; Metazoa; Nematoda; Chromadorea; Rhabditida; Setariidae.
GAAUUUUUAGUUUAAUUUUUAAAAUGUCUAGUUGUGGUCUAGAUGAUUGUGAAUUUA